GAUGAAGAACGUAGUGAAAUGCGAUAAGUAAUGUGAAUUGCAGAAUUCAGUGAAUCAUCGAAUCUUUGAACGCACAUUGCGCCCGCCAGUAUUCUGGCGGGCAUGCCUGUUCGAGCGUCAUUACAACCCUCAGGCCCUCGGGCCUGGCGUUGGGGAUCGGCGGAAGCCCCCUGCGGGCACAACGCCGUCCCCCAAAUACAGUGGCGGUCCCGCCGCAGCUUCCAUUGCGUAGUAGCUAACACCUCGCAACUGGAGAGCGGCGCGGCCACGCCGUAAAACACCCAACUUCUGAAUGUUGACCUCGAAUCAGGUAGGAAUACCCGCUGAACUUAAGCAUAUCAAUAAGCGGAGGA
This 353-nucleotide unclassified non-coding RNA is filed under the name soil metagenome. RNAcentral describes it as "partial contains 5.8S ribosomal RNA, internal transcribed spacer 2, and large subunit ribosomal RNA". The stretch from base 1 to 120 matches the Rfam family "5.8S ribosomal RNA", at positions 35 to 154 of the family's 154-position model. The record is from RNAcentral.